UCACCUGUAGAAAGGGGUCAGUCAUUUGUACCCUGCUUCACUUGGUGUGUAUGUGAAGGUGCUUUGAAAUCAAGUGCUCUGCAAACUGGAGAGAAUUACUACUAGUAUUCCGUGAAACUACAAGCUGACCCAAUUCCACUCAUUUAAUCCUUCUCUUGCUCUGUUGCCCAGAGGUUGCAGUGAGCUGAGAUCAUGCCACUGCACUAUAGCCUAGGUGACAGAGUGAGACUCUGUCUCCAAAAAACACAAAAGUUUCUUUUUUCAAAACAUUUCACUUUAAAAGGAGCCAAUUUAAAGAAAACUGUUAAUAGUUCAGGUAACAGGCAGAUACAGGAAAAGCUGCUGACAGUGUUGUAUGAGGUUUGAGGGCUUUGAUCCAAGCUGGUCCCACUCAGUCCAUAGCAGAGAAUGAAAGGGCCCAGAGAGGGUGGUGACCUCUGCCUGAAGUCACACAGUGAGUCGAGGACAGGGAGGUGACCCCAGGCUUCUAUAUGUAGGGCUGGAGGAUGUUCUGGGACACAGUUCAAUUCUCAUCUGUCACCCACUUUGGCUAUUAGAGAUCAACCCCU
This 569-nucleotide small RNA is filed under the name Pongo abelii (Sumatran orangutan). Its description in RNAcentral is "processed transcript". Lineage: Eukaryota; Metazoa; Chordata; Mammalia; Primates; Hominidae. The record is from RNAcentral.